GCUGGCGUGGCGAAACUGGUAAACGCGACGAUUUCGCAAGUCGUUGGGCGAAAGCUUUUGUCGGUUCGAGUCCGACCGCCAGUA
This 84-nucleotide transfer RNA is filed under the name Gemmatimonadota bacterium. RNAcentral's name for it is "Gemmatimonadetes bacterium tRNA-Ala". It matches the Rfam family "tRNA". Rfam says of the family: Transfer RNA (tRNA) molecules are approximately 80 nucleotides in length. Their secondary structure includes four short double-helical elements and three loops (D, anti-codon, and T loops). The record is from RNAcentral. Lineage: Bacteria; Pseudomonadati; Gemmatimonadota.